This 400-nucleotide ribosomal RNA is filed under the name uncultured bacterium. Its description in RNAcentral is "bacterial SSU rRNA". It matches the Rfam family "Bacterial small subunit ribosomal RNA", at positions 355 to 771 of the family's 1533-position model. The record is from RNAcentral.
UAGGGAAUAUUGGGCAAUGGGCGAAAGCCUGACCCAGCAACGCCGCGUGUACGAUGAAGGUCUUCGGAUCGUAAAGUACUUUUCUGGGAGAUGAGAAAGGACAGUAUCCCAGGAAUAAGCCUCGGCUAACUACGUGCCAGCAGCCGCGGUAAAACGUAGGAGGCAAGCGUUAUCCGGAUUUACUGGGCGUAAAGCGCGUGUAGGCGGUUUGAUAAGUUGGAUGUGAAAUCUCCUGGCUCAACUGGGAGGGGUCGUUCAAAACUAUCAGACUUGAGGACAGUAGAGGAAGGUGGAAUUCCCGGUGUAGUGGUGAAAUGCGUAGAUAUCGGGAGGAACACCAGUGGCGAAAGCGGCCUUCUGGACUGUAUCUGACGCUCAGACGCGAAAGCUAGGGGAGCGA